GUGGGGAAUAUUGCACAAUGGGCGAAAGCCUGAUGCAGCAACGCCGCGUGAGGGACGACGGCCUUCGGGUUGUAAACCUCUUUUAGUAGGGAAGAAGCGAAAGUGACGGUACCUGCAGAAAAAGCACCGGCUAACUACGUGCCAGCAGCCGCGGUAAUACGUAGGGUGCAAGCGUUAUCCGGAAUUAUUGGGCGUAAAGAGCUCGUAGGCGGUCUGUCGCGUCUGCUGUGAAAACUGGAGGCUCAACCUCCAGCCUGCAGUGGGUACGGGCAGACUAGAGUGCGGUAGGGGAGAUUGGAAUUCCUGGUGUAGCGGUGGAAUGCGCAGAUAUCAGGAGGAACACCGAUGGCGAAGGCAGAUCUCUGGGCCGCUACUGACGCUGAGGAGCGAAAGCAUGGGGAGCGAACAGGAUUAGAAACCCGUGUAGUCC
RNAcentral lists this ribosomal RNA (430 nucleotides) under uncultured bacterium. Its description in RNAcentral is "partial 16S ribosomal RNA". It matches the Rfam family "Bacterial small subunit ribosomal RNA", at positions 354 to 796 of the family's 1533-position model. The record is from RNAcentral.